This 85-nucleotide transfer RNA is filed under the name Felis catus (domestic cat). It matches the Rfam family "tRNA". Rfam says of the family: Transfer RNA (tRNA) molecules are approximately 80 nucleotides in length. Their secondary structure includes four short double-helical elements and three loops (D, anti-codon, and T loops). Lineage: Eukaryota; Metazoa; Chordata; Mammalia; Carnivora; Felidae. The record is from Rfam by way of RNAcentral.
GCCUGGGUGGCUCAGUCGGUUAAGCGUCUGACUUCGGCUCAGGUCAUGAUCUUGCAGUCCGUGAGUUCGAGCCCCACGUCGGGCU